This 81-nucleotide non-coding RNA is filed under the name uncultured Clostridium sp. RNAcentral's name for it is "Cyclic di-GMP-I riboswitch". It matches the Rfam family "c-di-GMP-I riboswitch aptamer". From Rfam's summary of the family: GEMM was predicted in a large-scale screen for bacterial structured RNA regulatory elements. Genes associated with GEMM are involved in a diverse array of functions, including chemotaxis regulation, signal transduction, secretion and chitin. The record is from RNAcentral. Lineage: Bacteria; Bacillati; Bacillota; Clostridia; Eubacteriales; Clostridiaceae.
UAAUAUGGCAAAGCUAAUGAAAAUUAGUGACGCAAAGCUAUAGGGGCUAAGCCAAUAUUUGGUAUGCCAGCCAGUUGCCAA